UUGAGAGUUUGAUCUUAGCUCAGGAUGAACGCUGGCGGCGUGGAUAAGGCAUGCAAGUCGAAUGGUCGUACCUCAUUGGGUUCGGUACGACCCGCGGAAGGUCGCGGAACGAACGCGGAAGGUCGCGGAACGAAUUCUUUAAGAAUUUUUUCUGCGUAUUCUGCGUCAAGUCCGCGUGUCUCUGUGGGUCGCCCGAGCGUAGCGAGGUGCGACCAUGGCGAACGAGGUAGUAACACGUAGGAACGUACCCCCGAGUCGGGCAUAAUCAGCCGAAAGGUUGAACAAUUCCCGAUGGUCUGUCAGUGCAGAGCACUGACCGCAGAAUAACGCGGAAUAGACGCAGAAGUACGCAGAAGAAUACAGAUUGUAUUUUUCGGCGAAAUUCAGCGUACAGUCUGCGUAUGUCCGCGGCCAAUGUUCUGCAUUGGCAGUAAAGAUUUAUCGCUCGGGGAGCGGCCUGCGCAGUAUCAGCUAGUUGGUAGGGUAACGGCCUACCAAGGCUAUGACGCUUAGGGGAGGUGAGAGCCUGACCCCCACCGAUGGGACUGAGACACGGCCCAUACACCUACGGGUGGCCGCAGUCGAGAAUCUUCCGCAAUGGACGAAAGUCUGACGGAGCGACGCCGCGUGGUGGAUGAAGUCCUUCGGGACGUAAACACCUUUUAUGAGGGAGGAAGUCAUUGACGUUACCUCAUGAAUAAGGACCUGCUAAACUCGUGCCAGCAGCAGCGGUAAUACGAGUGGUCCAAGCGUUAUCCGGAAUCACUGGGCGUAAAGGGUGUGUAGGUGGCACUGUUAGUCUCUUGUUAAAGCUCCCGGCUCAACCGGGAAAAGGCGAGAGAAACGGCAGCGCUCGAGGGCGCGAGAGGCGUACGGAACUAUAGGAGUAGGGGUGAAAUCCGUUGAUACCUAUGGGAACACCACAUGCGAAGGCAGUACGCUGGCGCGCACCUGACACUGAAACACGAAAGCGUGGGUAGCGAACGGGAUUAGAUACCCCGGUAGUCCACGCCCUAAACGAUCUUCACUAGCUUUUCGGAGUAUCGACCCUCUGAGAGGCGAAGCUAACGCGUUAAGUGAAGCGCCUGGGAAGUACGAGCGCAAGCUUAAAACUCAAAAGAAUAGACGGGGACUCGCACAAGCGGUGGAUCAUGCGGUUUAAUUCGAUGCUAAACGAAGAACCUCACCAGGGCUAGAAAUCCAAGCGAAGUUCCAGCGAAAGUUGGGAUGUCUCACAAGGACGGUUGGACAGGUGUUGCAUGGCUGUCGUCAGUUCGUGGUUUGAAUUGUUCCCUUAAGUGGGGUAACGAACGCAACCCUUGCCGCGUGUUACAAGUGUCACGUGGGACUGUCCGCCCUAGGCGGAAGGAAGCGAGGAUGACGCCAAGUCAGCAUGACCCUUGAUGUCCUGGGCUACACGCAUGAUACAAUGGCUGCAACAGAAGGUCGCGACGGCACUAAGCCCGAGCCAAUCCCCAAAUGCAGCCCCAGUUCGGAUUGAGGUCUGCAACUCGACCUCAUGAAGCCGGAAUCGCUAGUAAUCGCAGGUCAGCUAUACUGCGGUGAAUACGUUCUCGAGUCUUGUACUCACUGCCCGUCAAGUCAAGGGAGCCGGGAGUACCCGAAGUUCCUCCACUUUGUUCGCAAGCGAACAAAGUGGCGCAGACAAACGCAGACUGUACGCAGAAUUACGCAGACUCAAAGAAAGUUUUCUUUUUUCAGCGACUUUCUGUGUUUAUUCAGCGUUAUUCAGCGCCAUUUUACAAACUUGUUUGCAAAGUGGAGGGCCUACGGUAAGCUCGGUGACAGGGAUUAAGUCGUAACAAGGCACGGCUAGCGGAAGCUGGUCGUGGA
RNAcentral lists this ribosomal RNA (1854 nucleotides) under Parcubacteria group bacterium GW2011_GWC1_51_35. RNAcentral's name for it is "bacterial SSU rRNA". It matches the Rfam family "Bacterial small subunit ribosomal RNA". The record is from RNAcentral.